AUAUUAAUUCUUAUGCUUCUUUAUAUUAGGAACAAAUAGACUAAGCAAUUCUACUUCAUAUUUUCUGUUUAGUUGAAUCUGCAAUUUUAUUUGACACAUUUAGUACCUGUUUGGUAGAUGCAAAAAUGUGUUCAUCUCAUUUUAGUUAACAAUAAUUAUGUAUUAGAGAUUGUUAUCUGUAUUACAUAAUCACUUUUAACAUGAACUCAUCAUCUAUUAGAGAUCAAGAUUAAUGCAUAGUUUCUGUUAACCAAAAUGAGAUCAACUCAUUUUUCAGGUAUCUACCAAACAGGGCCUUAGGUGAGUUGAUAUUGUUUGUUUGGAGUAGUAGACAGUAUGCAAACAGUAUGCUUAUAUUUGGACAACACAUAGUUUUGUUGUUCUCUUAUAGGUGGUUUCUUGUAGGUGCUUUUUCUUAGUUUCGUAUUGUUUUGCUGGUGGUUGCUUGCUAACUUUUAGGACUUGAUCAGGUUGGUUAAUGGUGCUACUUCUUUAUUUAGUUAACUUUAGUAGGAAACUAUGCUUAUCAUGAUAUUUCUGUUAGGUUGAUACUCAUUUUUAGGAUUUGUAUUAUGCUCAUGAGUUUCUUCUCUUUUGAGUCGUCUAUUGAGAAUUCAUGUUCAAAAUACACCUUGGUAGUGUCCAAGCAUUUAUUUGUGUGUUUAAUGUUUAAAUUGAUAAAAAGAAGGAAAUCAUGAUUAAGUCUUAUUUUUGCUUUUUUAAGUUAAUGGGUCUUAGUCCAACCUUGAAACAGGUUUGACUAUAUUGAACGAGAUUGCCGAGCUUAUGGCCUUGGUUGCAAUUUUGAAUUUCAGAGGUUAAUGGAAUGCAUUUUUGGAUUGUGUAUUUUGUAUAUUUUUUCUUGUUUUUUAUUCUUUUCCUUUGUAUAUGUUUGGAUUCUAGAAACUAAGUUUGAAAAUCUUGGAUGGUUUUGAAUCAUAUAUAUAGCAGCAUGACCUAUGUUGCCUCGAAAGGAAUUUCGAUAAAAGAUGGGAUAUGCAGUCUUCAGAAGAAGGUAUUUGAUGUCCUCUGCCGGAUAGCAGACAUCCCUUCUUGGAAGCUUACAAGAUCAAGAUAAUUCUUGAAGAGAUGGAUUUCCUUAGUGUUCUUCAAAUGAUUCCUUCAUGUUUUCAACUAGCAAUGACAUGUAGGUAUUAGCUUGAGGAAAAGCAAUUUUAAAUUAUGCUCUUCUAUUAACAAUGUGAUCAUUUAAUUACUUGUGCAAUUCAUUACUCAUCCAUUGCUCUAACAAUAUCUUGUUCAGUCAUUAAGCUAUAGCUGCAUUCUCCUAUGUGUUUGAGAGUGUGGAUGUGUCUCUCUUUUUAGUUUAGGAAUUCAAUCUGCCUAGAGGAUCAUGUUGAUAGUUCUUUUAUCCAGAACAUUGGUCUGUUGGGCUCCACUGUGGAUGGACCAUUUCAUAAUAUCUCCCAAGGUUAGAGAUCCUAGCAUU
This is a long non-coding RNA of Magnolia sinica, 1450 nucleotides long. RefSeq lists it as uncharacterized. The transcript has 4 exons. The record is from RefSeq and is a predicted model, not a curated record. Lineage: Eukaryota; Viridiplantae; Streptophyta; Magnoliopsida; Magnoliales; Magnoliaceae.